This 28-nucleotide small RNA is filed under the name Bombyx mori (domestic silkworm). Its description in RNAcentral is "piRNA piR-bmo-2174516". Lineage: Eukaryota; Metazoa; Arthropoda; Insecta; Lepidoptera; Bombycidae. The record is from RNAcentral.
UCCGAUUGCUUGUGCGACUGUGUUUUUC